GGCAAUACUAAAAUUUAGAUCGAAAAAGAAUUACCGUAAUAGGAAGGACAUUACCUGGAUCAGAGUUCAGUGUCCUCAGCAAAACAAUUCGGUCGAUUGCGGAUUUUUUGUAUUGAGAUUUAUGAGAGAUAUCAUUGCGUUGAAUCGUAUAGACAUCCCAAAAAUGUACUUUGAGGAAUACAAAUCUUACUCAAGAGCUCAUUUGGAUGAAAUGAAGGAUGAAUUGUGUCAAUUCAUUGUUGAUCAAAGAAUCAUAUAGCUAGGUUGUAUAUUGUUGUACAUAUAUGUAUGGAA
Molecule: long non-coding RNA, 294 nt
Organism: Lathyrus oleraceus (garden pea)
Lineage: Eukaryota; Viridiplantae; Streptophyta; Magnoliopsida; Fabales; Fabaceae
Exons: 3
Source: RefSeq, a predicted model, not a curated record